Non-coding RNA from Salmo salar (Atlantic salmon), 54 nucleotides. Lineage: Eukaryota; Metazoa; Chordata; Actinopteri; Salmoniformes; Salmonidae. The record is from Rfam.
GAAUCCACUUACUGUAAGUUGCUCUGGAUAAGAGUGUCUGCUAAAUGACUCAAA